This is a non-coding RNA of Biomphalaria pfeifferi, 684 nucleotides long. The record is from the annotation of a GenBank genome assembly. NCBI's taxonomy places the organism in Eukaryota, Metazoa, Mollusca, Gastropoda, Planorbidae.
UAUUCGUCCUCGAACACUAUCUGGAGUGGUGUAGGUUUAUCAUUUCAGGUGGAGGUCAAUCAGUGGGGAUGACAGAUGACGGGGCACUAAUUGUGUAUAUUUAAUAUAUGGUCAUAUAAAUGGUAAAUAACUAAUAAUUUAAUUAUAAUAUUAUUGUACUAGUCAAAUCAGGUCCAGUGUGGUUUAACUUUAGUUUUUAAAAUUAAAUUUUUCAGGUAGAUUCCUGGUAGAGAUCUACUAUAUUAUCGAGAGAGACAUUCUAGAACCAGAAUAUAGAUCUAGAUAUAUCUAUUAUUUCUAUUCUUAGCAUCUAUAUCGACUAUAAGCUACUAUAGUAGAUCCGAUGUAUAUAAUUUUUCUUUAAGAGCUGAGGCCCAUGUUUUUUCACUUUCCAUAGCUUUCUUGGUCACUGUCUCUCUCCAACUAGUGCGGUUUAGUGCUUUGUCUUCCCAGUGGACAGUAUCAAUGUUCACUAUUUUUAAACCUCGUUUUAUUACAUCCAUGUAACGGAGGUGGGGGCGACCAGUUUUUCUUGAACCAGACGCAAGUUGCCUUGUAUAGAAUGAUUUUUUGGGAUGCAUAUGUCCUCCAUCUGUCAAACAUGUCUGGGUCAACACAGACAGCCGUAUCUGAGGACUGUAAAGAUGCUGGGAAGACCCGUUUGCGUGAAGAUCUCAGUGUUGC